UCCCCGUUACCGGGGCAGUCUAGCUAGAGAAAUUCAACUAACUAUAAGGGUUGCGCUCGUUGAUGGACUUAACCAAACAUCUCACGACACGAGCUGACGACGGCCAUGCAACACCUGUCAUCUGGUUCCCGAAGGCACUUUCUCCUUUCGGAGAGAUUCCAGAGAUGUCAAACCUUGGUAAGGUUCUUCGCUUAUCGUCGAAUUAAACAACACGCUCCACCGCUUGUGCGGGUCCCCGUCAAUUCCUUUAUGUUUUAAGCUUGCGCUCGUACUCCACAGGCGGGAUGCUUAACGCGUUAGCUUCGCUACUACCGGGGUCGAUACCGAUAACAGCUAGCAUCCAUCGUUUACGGCUUGGACUA
This 362-nucleotide unclassified non-coding RNA is filed under the name uncultured bacterium. RNAcentral's name for it is "contains 16S-23S intergenic spacer region". The record is from RNAcentral.